GAUGAACGCUGGCGGCGUGCUUAACACAUGCAAGUCGAACGAAGCACCUUGAUUUGAUUCUUCGGAUGAAGAUCUUGGUGACUGAGUGGCGGACGGGUGAGUAACGCGUGGGUAACCUGCCUCAUACAGGGGGAUAACAGUUAGAAAUGACUGCUAAUACCGCAUAAGACCACAGCACCGCAUGGUGCAGGGGUAAAAACUCCGGUGGUAUGAGAUGGACCCGCGUCUGAUUAGGUAGUUGGUGGGGUAACGGCCUACCAAGCCGACGAUCAGUAGCCGACCUGGGAGGGUGACCGGCCACGAUGGGACUGAGACACGGCCCAAACUCCUACGGGAGGCAGCAGUGGGGAAUAUUGUACAAUGGGGGAAACCCUGAUGCAGCGACGCCGCGUGAGCGAUGAAGUAUUUCGGUAUGUAAAGCUCUAUCAGCAGGGAAGAAAAUGACGGUACCUGACUAAGAAGCACCGGCUAAAUACGUG
RNAcentral lists this ribosomal RNA (479 nucleotides) under uncultured bacterium. Its description in RNAcentral is "partial 16S ribosomal RNA". It matches the Rfam family "Bacterial small subunit ribosomal RNA", at positions 28 to 507 of the family's 1533-position model. The record is from RNAcentral.